This 481-nucleotide ribosomal RNA is filed under the name uncultured bacterium. RNAcentral describes it as "partial 16S ribosomal RNA". It matches the Rfam family "Bacterial small subunit ribosomal RNA", at positions 28 to 507 of the family's 1533-position model. The record is from RNAcentral.
GAUGAACGCUGGCGGCGUGCUUAACACAUGCAAGUCGAACGAAGCACUUUAUUUGAUUUCCUUCGGGACUGAUUAUUUUGUGACUGAGUGGCGGACGGGUGAGUAACGCGUGGGUAACCUGCCUUGUACAGGGGGAUAACAGUUGGAAACGGCUGCUAAUACCGCAUAAGCGCACAGCAUCGCAUGAUGCAGUGUGAAAAACUCCGGUGGUAUAAGAUGGACCCGCGUUGGAUUAGCUAGUUGGUGAGGUAACGGCCCACCAAGGCGACGAUCCAUAGCCGACCUGAGAGGGUGACCGGCCACAUUGGGACUGAGACACGGCCCAAACUCCUACGGGAGGCAGCAGUGGGGAAUAUUGCACAAUGGGCGAAAGCCUGAUGCAGCGACGCCGCGUGAGCGAAGAAGUAUUUCGGUAUGUAAAGCUCUAUCAGCAGGGAAGAUAAUGGCGGUACCUGACUAAGAAGCACCGGCUAAAUACGUG